UUACGGCCACAUUAUGUUGAAACACCGUUUCCCGUAAGAUCAACAAAAGUAAGCAACGUUGAACCUGGGCAGUACCUAGAUGGGUGACCGCUUGAGAAUACCAGAUGUUGCAAG
This is a non-coding RNA of Acanthosepion pharaonis, 114 nucleotides long. Lineage: Eukaryota; Metazoa; Mollusca; Cephalopoda; Sepiida; Sepiidae. The record is from the annotation of a GenBank genome assembly.